CUAGAGGCUUGGAGGAUAGCGAAAGCGACGGAUGGACCGAGAGAAAGACAACGAAAACGUAAUCAGGGAAGAUAUGUUGAAAGUAGCGCUAAGGUGACAAAACAAGACAUGGGUUAUGAGAAAACAGAAUUUCUGAUUACAGAAGUACAGGAGCAGCUCUUAAAAGCAAGAUUUCCCCAUCUUGGAAAUAAAAUGCCUGUAAAACAUGGACCACUGGACACAGACGUUGCAGGAAUGACAACUGACAUCACCUUAAAAAAUCAUUGCCUUGCCUUGCCCGUGUGUUGUCGCCGAAAACGUUCCUGAAAUUGGUUUGGUGCUCAUUUCAGAUUUCCCCAGAUUGAUCUGGAGCAUUUGAACACAUUUCCAACGAUGUCAGUGUUUACCACACUGGAAUCUUUUAUAAUUAUCCGAGCACGGAUGACUGCCUCGUGUGUUUUGGAUGACAAUAAGGAAUACUCUUUUCCUCAAAAUGAAAAGUGGAGGGUUCAGUCUGCGGUUCACAUCCUCUGUUAAUUCAAAUGGAGAGGGAGUCGGUUGCUAUCUUUGGUUAUCUAGCUGUAUGAGUGUUAAUCAGCCGUCAUAAAGCUAGAUAACCGAAAGUAGAAAUGACUUCCAAACCUACCUACUUCAAAGCGAACGGAAGAACAGACCAUGGAGAGAAAUGUAAAAAUAAAUAAAAAAUCAUGAAAAUACAGACAGUAAGCAUGCGGUUAUGUGUGCUAUAAAGCAACAGCUAGAGGCUGGACCCAGUAAUUGUCCGAAACCAUUCCUCAUCAGUCCAAAUAUAUCAUCUGAAGCCUGAAGUUCCAUUGCAAAUGAUAUGGCAAGAAGAACAGCGACUGGCCGUUAUUCCUACCGUGCCUUGAUGGGAGGAGGGGAGGGGUGGGGGGGGGGGGGGAAAUGGCGCAGUCGUCAAAAAGAAAGGAGGAAAAAGAAUGGCCAACCCCUAUUCCCCUUUCCCUCCCACCUCACCCACCCCUGGGAGCCUUUAGUGCCAUCUGUGCCCCCUGAGAAACCAGAAAAAGCAAGACACUUCCACCCAGUGCCAACGGGGACAAAGAGGCUGCCAGUCGCCGGGGCCUCCGCCCCUGCCAGAUGCCAGAGAACUGUACGACAGCGCGUGUGUGUGUGCUGAGGAAGCCAUCUUGAUGGGAAAUCUUGCUUGCUGCUCCUAAAAUGGCUGUGUUGGCACGAGGUCUUGGAAUGGCGGUGAAGAUGUCAGCGUCCUCCAGGAGAGUGAGGAGCCAUCCCCUGACGCAGGCCAUCCUGUGCCACCUCAGGAAAAUGUGUGCCAACAUGAAUAUCAUUACCACCAAGCAGCAGAGGGCACGUGUGAAUUGGCUGUGGUGAUUUGUUGUUUUGCCGGCAAGAAGCAUCUUCCAACGUGGACUUGGAGAACCCCAAUGGACAGUGUUUUGAAUCACAAGAGUGGAAAAUCCACCGUGUGAAAUGACAUACUUCUAAAGUUCUGACCAUCUUCACCAGCUCCAUGGAUCCAGGGGGGCAGAAAUUGUUUGAAAUAUAUGUUGCACAAAGUUUAAUUCUAUCUGUGUCUUGUUUUAGAAGACAUGCAAAGUCUCUAAUGUGAAAAUGUUAUGAAGCCAGUGCAGCCUUAAUGGCAACCACAAAGAAAUAUUGGGGUGGAGAAAUGUGUUACUGCUACAUUUACAUUUGUGUGUUUAACUUUCAUUUGUUUUUUAUUGCUAAAUGCAUCAUUAUAUUUAUGUCCAAUGGAAAUAGACGGUUUGAAAGAUCUGUCAGCAGCAUUUGCACAUAGUAAAACUUGAAUUAUUUUUGUGUUUAUUGCAGUAUAUAUAACCUUUGGGUGUAAACACAAAUGUGUUAGCAAUGUGUCAUCUGUCUUGGAUCUCAAUGAUUAGCACACCUGUCUGUUUAAGCUAAAUAUGCAACAUAAAUCAAGCAGGCAGCUUGCAUGUAUGUAUGAGGAAUGCUUUGUUAAAUGCACUAUAUUGAAAAAAUGGGGUGUUUGUGGAUAUAUGAGGAGAUGAUAUGAAAGCACAUGACACGUGCUUCUGCAUUUGGUUUCGUUUGUUCUGAGGAUCCUCACAUGCUUUGUGGUGGUCAGUGAAGGACCGGAACAAGGAACAAAAAGUGCCUUAAUGUGUGAGGUGUUUACACUGAAACUUGUAACUUUGAUAUCUUUGAUAGAAUUCUGUUUGCUUCUGAAAAUUGAGCUGGCUGCUUUCUACAAAUAAAUAUGUGCAAUUCUUU
Molecule: long non-coding RNA, 2235 nt
Organism: Anguilla anguilla (European eel)
Lineage: Eukaryota; Metazoa; Chordata; Actinopteri; Anguilliformes; Anguillidae
Exons: 5
Source: RefSeq, a predicted model, not a curated record